This 253-nucleotide ribosomal RNA is filed under the name uncultured bacterium. RNAcentral describes it as "partial 16S ribosomal RNA". It matches the Rfam family "Bacterial small subunit ribosomal RNA", at positions 524 to 776 of the family's 1533-position model. The record is from RNAcentral.
CACGGAGGAUCCGAGCGUUAUCCGGAUUUAUUGGGUUUAAAGGGUGCGUAGGCGGAAUGGUAAGUCAGUGGUGAAAUACUGCAGCUCAACUGUAGCAUUGCCAUUGAUACUGUCAUUCUUGAGUACAGAUGAGGUAGGCGGAAUGUGGUGUGUAGCGGUGAAAUGCAUAGAUAUACCACAGAACACCGAUUGCGAAGGCAGCUUACUAAGCUGACACUGACGCUGAAGCACGAAAGCGUGGGUAUCAAACAGG